GGAGUAAUUYUAAACGGCCGCGGAAUUUUAACCGUGCUAAGGUAGCAUAAUCAUUUGUCUUUUAAUUAAAGACUUGUAUGAAUGGUUUAAUGAAAUAAAGCUAUCUCUAAAAUAUUAAAUAAAAAUUAUUUUUAAAGUGAAAAAUCUUUAAUAAAAUAAAAAGACAAAAAGACCCUAUAGAGUUUAAUUUAUCUGUAUAGGCACAUAUAUAUAUAUAAAUUUAGUUGGGGCAACUAAUGAAAAAAAAAAUUUCUUUUUAAAAAAAAAAAUAAAAUCAUUAAUUUAAUACUAUAAAACAAAUUACCUUAGGGGUAACAGCGUAAUUUUUUUUAAGAGCNCAAAUCNAARAAAAAAAUUAC
This 359-nucleotide ribosomal RNA is filed under the name Gymnomeniidae sp. 2-SB FSB-2019. RNAcentral describes it as "partial large subunit ribosomal RNA". The record is from RNAcentral. Lineage: Eukaryota; Metazoa; Mollusca; Solenogastres; Pholidoskepia; Gymnomeniidae.